AACGAACGCUGGCGGCAUGCCUAACACAUGCAAGUCGAACGAGACCUUCGGGUCUAGUGGCGCACAGGUGCGUAACGCGUGGGAAUCUGCCCUUGGGUUCGGAAUAACAGCGAGAAAUUGCUGCUAAUACCGGAUGAUGACGUAAGUCCAAAGAUUUAUCGCCCAAGGAUGAGCCCGCGUAGGAUUAGCUAGUUGGUGAGGUAAAGGCUCACCAAAGGCGACGAUCCUUAGCUGGUCUGAGAGGAUGAUCAGCCACACUGGGACUGAGACACGGCCCAGACUCCUACGGGAGGCAGCAGUGGGGAAUAUUGGACAAUGGGCGAAAGCCUGAUCCAGCAAUGCCGCGUGAGUGAUGAAGGCCUUAGGGUUGUAAAGC
This 376-nucleotide ribosomal RNA is filed under the name uncultured bacterium. RNAcentral describes it as "bacterial SSU rRNA". It matches the Rfam family "Bacterial small subunit ribosomal RNA", at positions 29 to 431 of the family's 1533-position model. The record is from RNAcentral.